AGUAUACCAAGGCGUUUGAGAGAAUGGUGUUGAAGGAACUAGGCAAAUUGCUCGCGUAACUUCGGGAUAAGCGAGACCCCGUUUUGGGCAACCAGGGCGGGGUGGCACAGAAGAGGGGGUAGCGACUGUUUACUAAAAACACAGGGCUCUGCGAAGUCGCAAGACGACGUAUAGGGUCUGACGCCUGCCCGGUGCUGGAAGGUUAAGAGGAGAGGUGCAAGCCUUGAAUCGAAGCCCCAGUAAACGGCGGCCGUAACAAUAACGGUCCUAAGGUAGCGAAAUUCCUUGUCGGGUAAGUUCCGACCUGCACGAAUGGCGUAACGACUUCCCCACUGUCUCCAACACCAGCUCAGCGAAAUUGAACUCUCCGUGAAGAUGCGGAGUACCCGCGGUCAGACGGAAAGACCCCGUGCACCUUUACUACAACUUUGCAGUGGUAAUAGGAGAAGGAUGUGUAGGAUAGGUGUAGCCUAUGAAGCGGAGGCGCUAGCUUUCGUGGAGGCACCCUUGAAAUACCACCCUUUCGUCUUCUGUUAUCUAACCUAGGUCAGUCAUCCUGAUCGGGGACCCUGCAUGGUGGGUAGUUUGACUGGGGCGGUCGCCUCCCAAAGAGUAACGGAGGCGCGCGAUGGUGGGCUCAGGCUGGUCGGAAAUCAGCCGUCGAGUGCAAUGGCACAAGCCCGCCUGACUGCGAGAGCGACGGCUCGAGCAGAGACGAAAGUCGGUCAUAGUGAUCCGGUGGUCCCCCGCGUGGAAGGGCCAUCGCUCAACGGAUAAAAGGUACGCCGGGGAUAACAGGCUGAUCUCCCCCAAGAGUCCACAUCGACGGGGAGGUUUGGCACCUCGAUGUCGGCUCAUCACAUCCUGGAGCUGGAGCAGGUCCCAAGGGUACGGCUGUUCGCCGUUUAAAGUGGUACGUGAGCUGGGUUUAGAACGUCGUGAGACAGUUCGGUCCCUAUCUGCCGUGGGUGAACGAGACUUGAGAGGCGCUGUCCCUAGUACGAGAGGACCGGGAUGGACGUACCUCUGGUGUACCGGUUGUGGCGCCAGCCGCAUCGCCGGGUAGCUAUGUACGGACGGGAUAACCGCUGAAAGCAUCUAAGCGGGAAACCCUCCUCAAAACCAGGCCUCGCAUGAGAGCCGUGAUAGACCAUCACGUCGAUAGGCCGGAGGUGGAAGUGCAGUAAUGCAUGCAGCCAACCGGUACUAAUCGCUCA
Molecule: ribosomal RNA, 1217 nt
Filed under: metagenome
Description: bacterial LSU rRNA
Rfam family: Bacterial large subunit ribosomal RNA
Source: RNAcentral